UUUAUAACUCGAGAUAUAGGCUGAACAUUGAACAGUGUCUAGGCUACAAGAUAUAUUUUGACUUCUCUUUUGUUGCUACAAUUUGAACUUGAAAACGACCCUUUUGAAUCUUGGACUCUUCAUGAAAGUUUUAGGCCUAUGUCUUAGCUUUUAAU
This is a non-coding RNA of Populus trichocarpa (black cottonwood), 155 nucleotides long. The record is from Rfam. NCBI's taxonomy places the organism in Eukaryota, Viridiplantae, Streptophyta, Magnoliopsida, Malpighiales, Salicaceae.